This 276-nucleotide long non-coding RNA is filed under the name Daucus carota (carrot). RNAcentral's name for it is "long non-coding RNA (DCAR_LNC001351)". Lineage: Eukaryota; Viridiplantae; Streptophyta; Magnoliopsida; Apiales; Apiaceae. The record is from RNAcentral.
UGAAAAUAAAAAAUCUAACGGUACUGCCAGCCUGAUUCAAGUGGCAGUAGCCUUGAUUUCCUGUCAACAAUAAUUACAGGCAAAACGCCAACAAAUCACACUACCCCACGUCAUCAUAAUUGAGCUGGACCCACACAACUUCUCUUUACCUCACUCACAUACUGAUUAAUAAAUUAUCAAAAGUAAUGUAAAAAUUUUACGAUCAGUAUAGUAGUAGUAUUUCCAUAAAACGGUUUGGCUAGUGUGUGCCCAUGGGCACAUGCUAAGCGCGGAAAU